This 789-nucleotide long non-coding RNA is filed under the name Citrus x clementina. RNAcentral's name for it is "Citrus clementina (C. clementina) long non-coding RNA (CCLE_LNC004121)". Lineage: Eukaryota; Viridiplantae; Streptophyta; Magnoliopsida; Sapindales; Rutaceae. The record is from RNAcentral.
AACUAUUAAAGACAUAAUAGAUUCUUCAUUAUACAAGUAAAAAAUCAUAUCAACAUAAUUUUUAAGUUACAGCAAUUAGUGUUUACUAAAUAUUUUACUGCUGUACCUUUUAAAUUACAGUUGUCCAACCUCAAUCACAAACACACAUAUAAUGUGUUUAAAUAUCAUCAUGAUAUUGUCUGUGCCAAGCUAGAUACAAUUUGAAAUCCGUCCAUGUCUUGCUUCCGCCCAAGAAAAUGAUGCAACAACACCUCUUUUAUAAAAACUGACACAGCAUUAUAUGAAUAUUUCAUAGCGAAUGAUGAUAUUCAGCCACCCUCAGUACAUAAGGAAGCCAAAAAAUGACAUGCUUUCUGUGUGGUGUUGAAGUUUUGGAUUUGAAAAUUAAUAAUAAUUUUAUACCAUUAAAGUAUAUUAAAAGUGAAUUAAAAGAAAUUAAAAAAUCCUCUUAUCCACUCUCUCCUGCUUAAUCACCCGCACUAUAUCCCUUUGAAACACUCACGAAGCUCAUUAUCCCUCUCACUCAUGACGAAGCUCGUUGUCCCACUUUGCCAACGAAGCUCCCUAUCCCUCUCACUCACCCACGAAGCUCGUUGUCACUCCACGUCCAUUGUUGACCAGUUGCCUAAUGUCGCAGACCAACCGCAAUUCACGUCGCCGACUGGUCUUGCUUGACAGUGUGCUUGACGAUUUUGGACCUUUUUCAUUUGUUCAGGCAAUUGAAUUUAGUAUGUCAAGGAAAGUUUUGAUUUAUUAGGUUGCGAUGUCAAAAAUAGAUUGGGUAGUAUU